CAGAAUUCGCCCUUAGAGUUUGAUCCUGGCUCAGGAUGAACGCUGGCGGCGUGCUUAACACAUGCAAGUCGAACGAAGCACCUUAUUCUGAUUUCUUCGGAAUGAAAAAUUUGGUGACUGAGUGGCGGACGGGUGAGUAACGCGUGGGUAACCUGCCUCAUACAGGGGGAUAACAGUUAGAAAUGACUGCUAAUACCGCAUAAGACCACAGCACCGCAUGGUGCAGGGGUAAAAACUCCGGUGGUAUGAGAUGGACCCGCGUCUGAUUAGGUAGUUGGUGGGGUAACGGCCUACCAAGCCGACGAUCAGUAGCCGACCUGAGAGGGUGACCGGCCACAUUGGGACUGAGACACGGCCCAAACUCCUACGGGAGGCAGCAGUGGGGAAUAUUGCACAAUGGGGGAAACCCUGAUGCAGCGACGCCGCGUGAGCGAUGAAGUAUUUCGGUAUGUAAAGCUCUAUCAGCAGGGAAGAAAAUGACGGUACCUGACUAAGAAGCACCGGCUAAAUACGUGCCAGCAGCCGCGGUAAUACGUAUGGUGCAAGCGUUAUCCGGAUUUACUGGGUGUAAAGGGAGCGUAGACGGAGUGGCAAGUCUGAUGUGAAAACCCGGGGCUCAACCCCGGGACUGCAUUGGAAACUGUCAAUCUAGAGUACCGGAGAGGUAAGCGGAAUUCCUAGUGUAGCGGUGAAAUGCGUAGAUAUUAGGAGGAACACCAGUGGCGAAGGCGGCUUACUGGACGGUAACUGACGUUGAGGCUCGAAAGCGUGGGGAGCAAACAGGAUUAGAUACCCUGGUAGUCCACGCCGUAAACGAUGACUACUAGGUGUCGGGCAGCAAAGCUGUUCGGUGCCGCAGCAAACGCAAUAAGUAGUCCACCUGGGGAGUACGUUCGCAAGAAUGAAACUCAAAGGA
RNAcentral lists this ribosomal RNA (916 nucleotides) under uncultured bacterium. RNAcentral's name for it is "bacterial SSU rRNA". It matches the Rfam family "Bacterial small subunit ribosomal RNA", at positions 1 to 908 of the family's 1533-position model. The record is from RNAcentral.